GUGAGGGUAAUCUGGCUGCGACAUCUGUCAUCCCAUUGAUUGCUAGGGUUGAUUCGGCUGAUCUGACUGGCUAGGCUUCUUCCCUCACUGCUCUAUGUGCGUCUCUCCCGAAGAUGAGAGCUCAGUGAAAGAGGACAGCGUCCCAGGUAUAGAGGCGUGUAUAGAGGCAAUGUCUCCAGUCUUUGGUUCCGGGUAUACAAUA
RNAcentral lists this small nuclear RNA (202 nucleotides) under Anolis carolinensis (green anole). Its description in RNAcentral is "7SK RNA". It matches the Rfam family "7SK RNA", at positions 5 to 199 of the family's 331-position model. From Rfam's summary of the family: 7SK was discovered as an abundant small nuclear RNA in the mid-70s but a possible function has only recently been suggested. Two independent studies have found that 7SK RNA binds the CDK9/cyclin T complex (known as elongation factor P-TEFb). Lineage: Eukaryota; Metazoa; Chordata; Lepidosauria; Squamata; Anolidae. The record is from Rfam by way of RNAcentral.